UUGGGAAUAUUGCACAAUGGGGGAAACCCUGAUGCAGCGACGCCGCGUGAGCGAUGAAGUAUUUCGGUAUGUAAAGCUCUAUCAGCAGGGAAGAUAAUGACGGUACCUGACUAAGAAGCUCCGGCUAAAUACGUGCCAGCAGCCGCGGUAAUACGUAUGGAGCAAGCGUUAUCCGGAUUUACUGGGUUUAAAGGGAGCGUAGGCGGUCAUGCAAGUCUGAUGUGACAACCCGGGGCUCAACCCCGGGACUGCAUUGGAAACUGUAGGACUAGAGUGUCGGAGGGGUAAGUGGAAUUCCUAGUGUAGCGGUGAAAAGCGUAGAUAUUAGGGGGAGCACCAGUGGCGAAGGCGGCUUACUGGACGACCACUGACGCUGAGGCUCGAAAGCGUGGGGAGCAAACAGG
Molecule: ribosomal RNA, 404 nt
Filed under: Acidobacteriota bacterium
Lineage: Bacteria; Pseudomonadati; Acidobacteriota
Description: Acidobacteria bacterium partial 16S ribosomal RNA
Rfam family: Bacterial small subunit ribosomal RNA
Source: RNAcentral